Molecule: ribosomal RNA, 482 nt
Filed under: uncultured bacterium
Lineage: Bacteria
Description: bacterial SSU rRNA
Rfam family: Bacterial small subunit ribosomal RNA
Source: RNAcentral
UUGAACGCUGGCGGCAUGCUUUACACAUGCAAGUCGAACGGCAGCGGGGGCUUCGGCCCGCCGGCGAGUGGCGAACGGGUGAGUAAUAUAUCGGAACAUAUCCGGAAGUGGGGGAUAACGUAGCGAAAGUUACGCUAAUACCGCAUAUGCCCCGAGGGGGAAAGGGGGGGAUCGCAAGACCUCUCGCUUUCGGAGUGGCCGAUAUCAGAUUAGCUAGUUGGUGAGGUAAAGGCUCACCAAGGCGACGAUCUGUAGCUGGUCUGAGAGGACGACCAGCCACACUGGGACUGAGACACGGCCGAGACUCCUACGGGAGGCAGCAGGGGGGAAUUUUGGACAAUGGGCGCAAGCCUGAUCCAGCCAUGCCGCGUGAGUGAAGAAGGCCUUCGGGUUGUAAAGCUCUUUCGGACAGAAAGAAAUCGCACUGGUUAAUACCUUGUGUGGGUGACGGUACUGUAAGAAGAAGCACCGGCUAACUACGU